GUGCUCACUUUGGCAGCAUAUAUGCUAAAAUGGGAGCAAUACAGAGAUUAGCAUGGACCCUGUGCAAGGAAAAACAAAUCCUUUUAAGACAUUCAUCACUAAA
Molecule: small nuclear RNA, 103 nt
Filed under: Sciurus vulgaris (Eurasian red squirrel)
Lineage: Eukaryota; Metazoa; Chordata; Mammalia; Rodentia; Sciuridae
Source: RNAcentral